Pongo abelii (Sumatran orangutan) is the source of this 148-nucleotide unclassified non-coding RNA. It matches the Rfam family "Metazoan signal recognition particle RNA". From Rfam's summary of the family: The signal recognition particle (SRP) is a universally conserved ribonucleoprotein. The record is from Ensembl. NCBI's taxonomy places the organism in Eukaryota, Metazoa, Chordata, Mammalia, Primates, Hominidae.
GCCAGGCGUGGUGGCGCACACCUGUAAUCCCAGCUACUCAGGAGGCUGAGGUGGGAGAAUUGCUUGGGCCAAGGAGGCAGAGGUUGCAGUGAGCUGAGAUUGAGUCACUGCAGCCUAGCCUGGGUGACAGAGCAAGACUUCAUCUCAA